RNAcentral lists this ribosomal RNA (253 nucleotides) under uncultured bacterium. RNAcentral describes it as "partial 16S ribosomal RNA". It matches the Rfam family "Bacterial small subunit ribosomal RNA", at positions 524 to 776 of the family's 1533-position model. The record is from RNAcentral.
UACGGGGGGGGCAAGCGUUGUUCGGAAUUACUGGGCGUAAAGGGCUCGUAGGUGGCCAACUAAGUCAGACGUGAAAUCCCCAGGCUCAACUUGGGAACUGCGUCUGAUACUGGAUGGCUUGAAUUCGGGAGAGGGAUGCAGAAUUCCAGGUGUAGCGGUGAAAUGCGUAGAUAUCAGGAGGAACACCUGCGGUGUAGACGGCUUUCUGGACCAUAACUGACGCUGAGAUACGAAAGCGUGGGUAGCAAACAGG